This 506-nucleotide ribosomal RNA is filed under the name uncultured bacterium. RNAcentral describes it as "partial 16S ribosomal RNA". It matches the Rfam family "Bacterial small subunit ribosomal RNA", at positions 30 to 523 of the family's 1533-position model. The record is from RNAcentral.
AUUGAACGCUGGCGGCAGGCUUAACACAUGCAAGUCGAGCGGUAACAGAGAGAAGCUUGCUUCUCUGCUGACGAGCGGCGGACGGGUGAGUAAUGCCUAGGAAUCUGCCUAGUCGUGGGGGAUAACUUGCCGAAAGGUAAGCUAAUACCGCAUGCGUCCUACGGGAGAAAGGAGGGGACCUUCGGGCCUUUCGCUAUUAGAUGAGCCUAGGUCGGAUUAGUUAGUUGGUGAGGUAAUGGCUCACCAAGACCGCGAUCCGUAACUGGUCUGAGAGGAUGAUCAGUCACACUGGAACGGAGACACGGUCCAGACUCCUACGGGAGGCAGCAGUGGGGAAUAUUGGACAAUGGGGGGAACCCUGAUCCAGCCAUGCCGCGUGUGUGAAGAAGGUCUUAGGAUUGUAAAGCACUUUAAGUUGGGAGGAAGGGCAGUUAACUAAUAUUUGACUGUUUUGACGUUACCGACAGAAUAAGCACCGGCUAACUUCGUGCCAGCAGCCGCCGUAA